AAACAACUGAAAAAAUUAUUUUGUUUGUUGGAACUGAGAGGAAAUUUAAGUCAGAAAAUCUAAAGUUUAUCUUCUCAGUCAGCUUCAGAAAUGAAGAUGAGAUGGAAAAUGAUAUUGAGAAUAUAUGAGAAAUGAACCUUCACUUAUUCACAAGAAGGAAUGAAUGAUAUUGUAGUCAUGGAAAACACCAUGGAAUUUCCUCUAG
Molecule: long non-coding RNA, 205 nt
Filed under: Mus spicilegus (steppe mouse)
Lineage: Eukaryota; Metazoa; Chordata; Mammalia; Rodentia; Muridae
Description: lncRNA (ENSMSIG00000030864.1)
Source: RNAcentral